GGCAUGGAAUCUACAGGAAUUCAUGAGACUACGUACAACUCCAUUAUGAAAUGCGAUGUGGAUAUCCGAAAGGACUUGUACGCC
RNAcentral lists this microRNA precursor (84 nucleotides) under Ciona intestinalis (vase tunicate). RNAcentral's name for it is "miRNA (ENSCING00000023153.1)". The record is from RNAcentral. Lineage: Eukaryota; Metazoa; Chordata; Ascidiacea; Phlebobranchia; Cionidae.